UAAUGAAUCUUCCGCAAUGCACGCAAGUGUGACGGAGCGACGCCGAGUGAAGGAUGAAGUCUUUCGGGAUGUAAACUUCUAAAACCUGUUAGAAAGUUCUGAUCAGCAGGCUAUAAGUGGCGACUAACUCUGUGCCAGCAGUCGCGGUAAUACAGAGGCCACGAGCGUUAGGCGGAAUCACUGGGCUUAAAGCGUGUGUAGGUGGAUCGGUAAGUACCUUGUGAAAUCCCACGACUCAAUCGUGGAACUGCUUGGUAUACUGCCAGUCUUGAGGUACUCAGGGGCGAGCGGAACAGAUGGUGGAGCGGUGAAAUGCGUAGAUAUCAUCUGGAACGCCAAUGGUGAAGACAGCUCGCUGGGGGUAUUCUGACACUGAGACACGAAAGCCAGGGGAGCAAACGG
Molecule: ribosomal RNA, 402 nt
Filed under: uncultured bacterium
Lineage: Bacteria
Description: bacterial SSU rRNA
Rfam family: Bacterial small subunit ribosomal RNA
Source: RNAcentral